UCGAGAUUCGGUGUUUAAAACAACAUAAAAAUAAGAUAUGAGAAUAACAUGGAAAAUAAUCAUUUAGUACAUAUGAUGCUUGUUCUUGACACUAGGAAACUCAAAGGAGUUUAGAUGUUUUCAUGGAACAAGGUUCCAUUAGAAUCGUGACAAGUUAUCAUAGUCUAGGAUGAUGAAUGUUCAUGUGUUUAAGCAAAAUGUUCAUGUGUAAGUUUUUGAUAAGUAAACAUGUUAUACCCCAAAAGUGGUAAAAGUAAAAAGGGGGGAAAUACGAGUAUACUCACAAAGUUUGCAUAUGUUUUCCGAUUAUCCAAUUGUUGACGAGUAGAGAUUUAGAGUCCGAAUGUAUAAGGGUUAAGGUUCAAGUAUGUUUAGAGUCGAGAUUCGGUGUUUAAAACAACAUAAAAAUAAGAUAUGAGAAUAACAUGGAAAAUAAUCAUUUAGUACAUAUGAUGCUUGUUCUUGACACUAGGAAACUCGAAGGAGUUUAGAUGUUUUCAUGGAACAAGGUUCCAUUAGAAUCGUGACAAGUUAUCAUAGUCUAGGAUGAUGUAAUCUAGUACCCCGACAUAUGAACACUAGUUCAUCAUCAAAGAUUCGAUUAUUCGAAUAAUAUAUUUAGGUUAUAUAAUAUAUGUCCAAUAGUUCAAGCAUGAGGUAGAAGAUUAAAAUCUUCAUUUUGGUACCUCUAAAUGUCAUAGAAGUCAUGUAGGAGGUAGGAAGAUCAAGUCUUCCAUUUAGGCACCUCUAUGUGUUCACCACUACACUUGAUGUAAAAAAAACAACCAAGGAGGGUCAUGAACAUACAAUAAAGAAUAAGAAAUAUACACACUAACUAAGAGAAAUCAUCAAAUCAUGUGAGGAUUGUAUGUUUGGACAACCCAAGUUGUUCCAUAAUCACUCAUGUAUCAAAGACAAAGUUUGACAUGACUUGUGGGUUAAAAACCCUAAACAAAACACCAAGUUUAUGAGGUUUAAUCCUCUGAUUUUAAAUGUCCCAACCUUUUUUUUAAGCUUAACCAACCAUGGGAUAAGUUGUAAGCAUUAGGACAUAGGUAUGAGAUGUGUUAGACACAAGUUGCAUAGGUUUAAACAAGUUUUUGAUGAACAUAAAAACAAACAGAAAGUUUAUGGACUAUUUCGGGGCAUUUCCAGGUCUGAUUUCUCCAAGGAGAAGUCUAGGAAUCGAACCCCAUGAUUAUACAAGCAAGUAGGAAAAAGAAUCGAGUGAAUCGGAUAAGAAUUGAGUGAGUUAUGCUCAUUUUCGUGAAGGGGUGUCAAUCUACUCGAACCCUUGCUUUCAGCUACGGUUUGGUGGAUGUUUUGUGAGUUUUUAGGGUUGCAAAAGUGGUAGGGAGGCUGGUUAUAAGUGGUAUUUAUAGGGGGAAGGAUUAGGGUUUCAAUGGGUUGGGCUUUGGAAGUGUUUAGAAGGGGUUACACCUUGAAACUAGCCCACAAAACCCAACUAUAUGG
Molecule: long non-coding RNA, 1473 nt
Filed under: Helianthus annuus (common sunflower)
Lineage: Eukaryota; Viridiplantae; Streptophyta; Magnoliopsida; Asterales; Asteraceae
Description: sRNA HanXRQr2_Chr07g0296231
Source: RNAcentral